AGUCGUUUGGAAGACUGAGAGGAAGGGAAUGGAGCAGAAUCUUAUCAGAGAUUUGACUCACUUAAUAGUGGCACUGUAUCAUACUUGAGUCAAAAUGUUGGUGUGAAUUUUGUGGAAGGAGAGCCUGAUGUAAUGCCAUGGCUGCCGAACAAUUGAUGAAAACUAAUGGAUCGUGGCAACACAUGGAUGUGUUAAUCAGCUACUUUUUCCAUGACGCAGUGUAACUGUGGACAUUUCGAUCACUGGUAGCUGGAUGGUGUCAAAUAUUCGAAGUGAAGUGGAUAAUUCAAAGUUUUCUAUCAGCAGGCAUCUCUAUUAUUUUCUGCUACAAAACUAAGUUUCAGUGGUAUAAAAACAUGUGUUCUCUGAAAUACCUGUAAUUUGACCAAACUGUUAGGCUGUGUAAAAAGUUCGAUGGCCUUAAGAGCUUGCGAACUGUAGACAAGAAGAUCAAGCUGGG
Molecule: long non-coding RNA, 460 nt
Organism: Lolium rigidum
Lineage: Eukaryota; Viridiplantae; Streptophyta; Magnoliopsida; Poales; Poaceae
Exons: 3
Source: RefSeq, a predicted model, not a curated record